Molecule: ribosomal RNA, 725 nt
Filed under: uncultured bacterium
Lineage: Bacteria
Description: bacterial SSU rRNA
Rfam family: Bacterial small subunit ribosomal RNA
Source: RNAcentral
CGCUGGCGGCGUGCUUAACACAUGCAAGUCGAACGGAAAGGCCUUGUGCUUGCACAAGGUACUCGAGUGGCGAACGGGUGAGUAACACGUGGGUGAUCUGCCCUGCACUGUGGGAUAAGCCUGGGAAACUGGGUCUAAUACCAUAUAGGACCGCACUUUGGAUGGUGUGGUGGAAAGCUUUUGCGGUGUGGGAUGAGCCUGCGGCCUAUCAGCUUGUUGGUGGGGUAAUGGCCUACCAAGGCGGCGACGGGUAUCCGGCCUGAGAGGGUGUACGGACACAUUGGGACUGAGAUACGGCCCAGACUCCUACGGGAGGCAGCAGUGGGGAAUAUUGCACAAUGGGCGCAAGCCUGAUGCAGCGACGCCGCGUGGGGGAUGAAGGCCUUCGGGUUGUAAACUCCUUUCGCUAUCGACGAAGCCACUUGUGGUGACGGUAGGUAGAUAAGAAGCACCGGCUAACUACGUGCCAGCAGCCGCGGUAAUACGUAGGGUGCAAGCGUUGUCCGGAAUUACUGGGCGUAAAGAGCUCGUAGGUGGUUUGUCGCGUCGUCUGUGAAAUCCCGGGGCUUAACUUCGGGCGUGCAGGCGAUACGGGCAUAACUUGAGUGCUGUAGGGGAGACUGGAAUUCCUGGUGUAGCGGUGAAAUGCGCAGAUAUCAGGAGGAACACCGAUGGCGAAGGCAGGUCUCUGGGCAGUUACUGACGCUGAGGAGCGAAAGCAUGGG